Molecule: long non-coding RNA, 710 nt
Organism: Tribolium madens (black flour beetle)
Lineage: Eukaryota; Metazoa; Arthropoda; Insecta; Coleoptera; Tenebrionidae
Exons: 2
Source: RefSeq, a predicted model, not a curated record
AUAGCUUUAUCAAGAAUUCAAGGUUCUUCAAAUAAUUUAACCUUUGCGGUUUAAUUUCCGUCAAAAUUUUAAAUAUUUGGUGCAUUGCAGUUUGUUAUUAAAGAUUGUGAUAAUGUCGUAAUUACAAAAUUUUCCAACAAGAGGAUUGUUUACCGCCGUACCUUCUUAACGAUACAUUGACACAACAUCAUUAGCAUUGUUGACAAAUCGUUAGUCUUUAACAAUUUCGAAAAAUGAAUUUCUUGCAAGUGAUAAUUAUUUCCGUUUAGGAAACAGCGGUUUUACGAGAUUAACGCUCUAUAAUUUGCACUUAAUUCAAUUAUUACAUUAAUUCAGGAACACGAACCGCAUUGAUUUUAUGUUCCUGUUUCAACCAGAUAAGAAGUUUUUAAAUAAUUAGUCCCUGAAAAGUCGUUAAUAUUCUUUGCAAUUUUAUUGAGUUCACUAUGAUGAAAUUUCUCUUUUUGUUGUUUUUCCUCACAGUGGUGAUGACUCUGCCUGUGGCUUAUGUGCCUCGAUUUUCUGCUUGUCCUCCUGGACAAGUUCUGGUUUAUCCUGGAGUGUGCAGAGAGGUGGAUUAUUUUUACGAUGAUUACGAAGAUUAAGAUCUGGUUCUUUUCUCCACUUUUUUGAAAUGAUUAAAUUAGUGCAGAGUUUUGUAAUUACUAUUUUGUACUCAAAUUCAAAUAAAAGUGUGUCUUUGUAAUGUC